Molecule: long non-coding RNA, 475 nt
Organism: Coturnix japonica (Japanese quail)
Lineage: Eukaryota; Metazoa; Chordata; Aves; Galliformes; Phasianidae
Source: Ensembl
CUCAGAACGUUUGAAAGUUUUGUUUUGAUCAUCUUCCAGAAAAUGAAAUUAUCUCAACGAAACACAACCUCUCUGAGACUAUAAAUCAAAUGUCUCAGGAAUAGGUUUUCUUGUAACACUUUUGACACUUCCUGGUCUCAGCCAAGUUGAAAAUGCCAAGAGAGCAGCCUUUGAACAGGAGUACAUGGAGGGACCCUCUCCUGUGUUCUGUUGAGAAGAUAUAGCACAGACUGAGAAGUCUCUUCAUACAGUGUCAAAAAGUGACCUUGCUCUCUUCAGCCCGCUGAAGUCUGCUGGAACCUGCCAUGAUUUCUUGUCUUUUGUUAUUGAGCUUCCUUCUGAGAGCCUGAGCUGCCUAAAGAGAGGAUACAGUGAUUUCUAGAGCUAUAACUGGUAGACACAAUUGCAACAGAAGAAAAAGAAAGACUGAGAUGGGAGGGCCACACUUUCUCAACAAGAACUGAUGUUCAGAAGG